GCUUACGGUCAUACCAGCCUGAAUACGCCCGAUCUCGUCCGAUCUCGGAAGCUAAGCAGGGUCGGGCCUGGUUAGUACUUGGAUGGGAGACCGCCUGGGAAUACCAGGUGCUGUAAGCU
Molecule: ribosomal RNA, 119 nt
Organism: Oncorhynchus mykiss (rainbow trout)
Lineage: Eukaryota; Metazoa; Chordata; Actinopteri; Salmoniformes; Salmonidae
Source: Ensembl